RNAcentral lists this ribosomal RNA (505 nucleotides) under uncultured bacterium. Its description in RNAcentral is "bacterial SSU rRNA". It matches the Rfam family "Bacterial small subunit ribosomal RNA", at positions 791 to 1304 of the family's 1533-position model. The record is from RNAcentral.
UAGUCCACGCCGUAAACGAUGGAUACUAGCUGUGCGGCUUCGGCUGCGUGGCUAAGCGAAAGUGAUAAGUAUCCCACCUGGGGAGUACGUUCGUAAGAAUGAAACUCAAAGGAAUUGACGGGGGCCCGCACAAGCGGUGGAGCAUGUGGUUUAAUUCGAUGAUACGCGAGGAACCUUACCAGGGCUUAAAUGUAGAUUGCAUGGUUUAGAGAUAGACCUUUCUUCGGACCAUCUACAAGGUGCUGCAUGGUUGUCGUCAGCUCGUGCCGUGAGGUGUCAGGUUAAGUCCUAUAACGAGCGCAACCCCUGUUGUUAGUUGCCAGCGAGUGAUGUCGGGAACUCUAACAAGACUGCCGGUGCAAACCGUGAGGAAGGUGGGGAUGACGUCAAAUCAUCACGGCCCUUACGUCCUGGGCUACACACGUGCUACAAUGGCCGGUACAAUGAGCAGCCAUACCGCGAGGUAGAGCGAAUCUAUAAAACCGGUCUCAGUUCGGAUCGGAGU